GAUAAACGCUGGCGGCGUGCCUAACACAUGCAAGUCGAACGCCCUUUUGCGCAAGUGAGAGGGAGUGGCGGACGGGUGAGUACCACGUGGGUACCUACCUUGAGGUGAGGAAUACCACCGAGAAAUCGGUGACAAGACCGCAUACGCUCGGGCAACCGAGCAAAGUCAUGCAAAUGACGCCACAAGAUGAGCCUGCGCCUGAUUAGCUGGUUGGUGAGGUAACAGCUCACCAAGGCGACGAUCAGUAGCUGGUCUGAGAGGAUGAUCAGCCACACUGGGAUUAAGAACGGCCCAGACUCCGUACGGGGGCGA
Molecule: ribosomal RNA, 312 nt
Filed under: uncultured bacterium
Lineage: Bacteria
Description: bacterial SSU rRNA
Rfam family: Bacterial small subunit ribosomal RNA
Source: RNAcentral